GGAAAAGAAGCCUAUUAAUGCUGCAUUGCUCUCCAGAUGCUGGGACUGUACAGGAAGGAAAUGAUGUCUGAAGUGAGGGAAGAUGGACUGUUAAUUCAAACAACACAAUUCCACCUGCUGUCAAGAAUGAUUACAGAUCAGAAGGAUUUUUUCAGGGUGCUCCUCAUUACUCCAGCCCUACCGAAAACCACUUUUUGGUGA
This 201-nucleotide long non-coding RNA is filed under the name Struthio camelus australis. Its description in RNAcentral is "lncRNA (ENSSCUG00000007967.1)". The record is from RNAcentral. Lineage: Eukaryota; Metazoa; Chordata; Aves; Struthioniformes; Struthionidae.